This is a long non-coding RNA of Bombus huntii, 4637 nucleotides long. RefSeq lists it as uncharacterized. The record is from RefSeq and is a predicted model, not a curated record. The transcript is spliced from 5 exons. NCBI's taxonomy places the organism in Eukaryota, Metazoa, Arthropoda, Insecta, Hymenoptera, Apidae.
AAAAACUCUAGCGACGGCACGGGUGUCCGACUCACGACAACGAGGAUAGACAGCCGGUCCCCUCUGAACGGUAUAUAAUAUGAAACUUUAAGUCUCGUUCAGGUAGUGUGUAAGUCAAAAAUUCGAUGGGACUCGCAUCCGUCGUCCUCGCGCGGUCUUUCGUCCCGAUAUCCAGAAGCAGAGUUUGAAAAACUCUAGCGACGGCACGGGUGUCCGACUCACGACAACGAGGAUAGACAGCCGGUCCCCUCUGAACGGUAUAUAAUAUACAUUAUGCGACGAUGAUAGACGACAAACUGGAUGAAACUUUAAGUCUCGUUCAGGUAGUGUGUAAAUCAAAAAUUCGAUGGGACUCGCAUCCGUCGUCCUCGCGCGGUCUUUCGUCCCGAUAUCCAGAAGCAGAGUUUGAAAAACUCUAGCGACGGCACGGGUCUCCGACUCACGACAACGAGGAAAGACAGCCGGUCCCCUCUGAACGGUAUAUUAUAUGAAACUUUAAGUCUCGUUCAGGUAGUGUUUAAAUAAAAAAUUCGAUGGGACUCGCAUCCGUCGUCCUCGCGCGGUCUUUCGUCCCGAUAUCCAGAAGCAGAGUUUGAAAAACUCUAGCGACGGCACGGGUGUCCGACUCACGACAACGAGGAAAGACAGCCGGUCCCCUCUGAACGGUAUAUUAUAUGAAACUUUAAGUCUCGUUCAGGUAGUGUUUAAAUAAAAAAUUCGAUGGGACUCGCAUCCGUCGUCCUCGCGCGGUCUUUCGUCCCGAUAUCCAGAAGCAGAGUUUGAAAAACUCUAGCGACGGCACGGGUGUCCGACUCACGACAACGAGGAAAGACAGCCGGUCCCCUCUGAACGGUAUAUUAUAUGAAACUUUAAGUCUCGUUCAGGUAGUGUGUAAGUCAAAAAUUCGAUGGGACUCGCAUCCGUCGUCCUCGCGCGGUCUUUCGUCCCGAUAUCCAGAAGCAGAGUUUGAAAAACUCUAGCGACGGCACGGGUGUCCGACUCACGACAACGAGGAUAGACAGCCGGUCCCCUCUGAACGGUAUAUAAUAUGAAACUUUAAGUCUCGUUCAGGUAGUGUGUAAGUCAAAAAUUCGAUGGGACUCGCAUCCGUCGUCCUCGCGCGGUCUUUCGUCCCGAUAUCCAGAAGCAGAGUUUGAAAAACUCUAGCGACGGCACGGGUGUCCGACUCACGACAACGAGGAUAGACAGCCGGUCCCCUCUGAACGGUAUAUAAUAUACAUUAUGCGACGAUGAUAGACGACAAACUGGAUGAAACUUUAAGUCUCGUUCAGGUAGUGUGUAAAUCAAAAAUUCGAUGGGACUCGCAUCCGUCGUCCUCGCGCGGUCUUUCGUCCCGAUAUCCAGAAGCAGAGUUUGAAAAACUCUAGCGACGGCACGGGUGUCCGACUCACGACAACGAGGAAAGACAGCCGGUCCCCUCUGAACGGUAUAUUAUAUGAAACUUUAAGUCUCGUUCAGGUAGUGUGUAAGUCAAAAAUUCGAUGGGACUCGCAUCCGUCGUCCUCGCGCGGUCUUUCGUCCCGAUAUCCAGAAGCAGAGUUUGAAAAACUCUAGCGACGGCACGGGUGUCCGACUCACGACAACGAGGAUAGACAGCCGGUCCCCUCUGAACGGUAUAUUAUAUAUGCGAUGAUAGACGACAAACUGGAUGAAACUUUAAGUCUCGUUCAGGUAGUGUGUAAAUAAAAAAUUCGAUGGGACUCGCAUCCGUCGUCCUCGCGCGGUCUUUCGUCCCGAUAUCCAGAAGCAGAGUUUGAAAAACUCUAGCGACGGCACGGGUGUCCGACUCACGACAACGAGGAAAGACAGCCGGUCCCCUCUGAACGGUAUAUUAUAUGAAACUUUAAGUCUCGUUCAGGUAGUGUGUAAGUCAAAAAUUCGAUGGGACUCGCAUCCGUCGUCCUCGCGCGGUCUUUCGUCCCGAUAUCCAGAAGCAGAGUUUGAAAAACUCUAGCGACGGCACGGGUGUCCGACUCACGACAACGAGGAUAGACAGCCGGUCCCCUCUGAACGGUAUAUAAUAUGAAACUUUAAGUCUCGUUCAGGUAGUGUGUAAGUCAAAAAUUCGAUGGGACUCGCAUCCGUCGUCCUCGCGCGGUCUUUCGUCCCGAUAUCCAGAAGCAGAGUUUGAAAAACUCUAGCGACGGCACGGGUGUCCGACUCACGACAACGAGGAUAGACAGCCGGUCCCCUCUGAACGGUAUAUAAUAUACAUUAUGCGACGAUGAUAGACGACAAACUGGAUGAAACUUUAAGUCUCGUUCAGGUAGUGUGUAAAUCAAAAAUUCGAUGGGACUCGCAUCCGUCGUCCUCGCGCGGUCUUUCGUCCCGAUAUCCAGAAGCAGAGUUUGAAAAACUCUAGCGACGGCACGGGUGUCCGACUCACGACAACGAGGAAAGACAGCCGGUCCCCUCUGAACGGUAUAUUAUAUGAAACUUUAAGUCUCGUUCAGGUAGUGUGUAAGUCAAAAAUUCGAUGGGACUCGCAUCCGUCGUCCUCGCGCGGUCUUUCGUCCCGAUAUCCAGAAGCAGAGUUUGAAAAACUCUAGCGACGGCACGGGUGUCCGACUCACGACAACGAGGAUAGACAGCCGGUCCCCUCUGAACGGUAUAUUAUAUAUGCGAUGAUAGACGACAAACUGGAUGAAACUUUAAGUCUCGUUCAGGUAGUGUGUAAAUAAAAAAUUCGAUGGGACUCGCAUCCGUCGUCCUCGCGCGGUCUUUCGUCCCGAUAUCCAGAAGCAGAGUUUGAAAAACUCUAGCGACGGCACGGGUGUCCGACUCACGACAACGAGGAAAGACAGCCGGUCCCCUCUGAACGGUAUAUUAUAUGAAACUUUAAGUCUCGUUCAGGUAGUGUGUAAGUCAAAAAUUCGAUGGGACUCGCAUCCGUCGUCCUCGCGCGGUCUUUCGUCCCGAUAUCCAGAAGCAGAGUUUGAAAAACUCUAGCGACGGCACGGGUGUCCGACUCACGACAACGAGGAUAGACAGCCGGUCCCCUCUGAACGGUAUAUAAUAUGAAACUUUAAGUCUCGUUCAGGUAGUGUGUAAGUCAAAAAUUCGAUGGGACUCGCAUCCGUCGUCCUCGCGCGGUCUUUCGUCCCGAUAUCCAGAAGCAGAGUUUGAAAAACUCUAGCGACGGCACGGGUGUCCGACUCACGACAACGAGGAUAGACAGCCGGUCCCCUCUGAACGGUAUAUAAUAUACAUUAUGCGACGAUGAUAGACGACAAACUGGAUGAAACUUUAAGUCUCGUUCAGGUAGUGUGUAAAUCAAAAAUUCGAUGGGACUCGCAUCCGUCGUCCUCGCGCGGUCUUUCGUCCCGAUAUCCAGAAGCAGAGUUUGAAAAACUCUAGCGACGGCACGGGUGUCCGACUCACGACAACGAGGAAAGACAGCCGGUCCCCUCUGAACGGUAUAUUAUAUGAAACUUUAAGUCUCGUUCAGGUAGUGUGUAAGUCAAAAAUUCGAUGGGACUCGCAUCCGUCGUCCUCGCGCGGUCUUUCGUCCCGAUAUCCAGAAGCAGAGUUUGAAAAACUCUAGCGACGGCACGGGUGUCCGACUCACGACAACGAGGAUAGACAGCCGGUCCCCUCUGAACGGUAUAUUAUAUAUGCGAUGAUAGACGACAAACUGGAUGAAACUUUAAGUCUCGUUCAGGUAGUGUGUAAAUAAAAAAUUCGAUGGGACUCGCAUCCGUCGUCCUCGCGCGGUCUUUCGUCCCGAUAUCCAGAAGCAGAGUUUGAAAAACUCUAGCGACGGCACGGGUGUCCGACUCACGACAACGAGGAAAGACAGCCGGUCCCCUCUGAACGGUAUAUUAUAUGAAACUUUAAGUCUCGUUCAGGUAGUGUGUAAGUCAAAAAUUCGAUGGGACUCGCAUCCGUCGUCCUCGCGCGGUCUUUCGUCCCGAUAUCCAGAAGCAGAGUUUGAAAAACUCUAGCGACGGCACGGGUGUCCGACUCACGACAACGAGGAUAGACAGCCGGUCCCCUCUGAACGGUAUAUAAUAUGAAACUUUAAGUCUCGUUCAGGUAGUGUGUAAGUCAAAAAUUCGAUGGGACUCGCAUCCGUCGUCCUCGCGCGGUCUUUCGUCCCGAUAUCCAGAAGCAGAGUUUGAAAAACUCUAGCGACGGCACGGGUGUCCGACUCACGACAACGAGGAUAGACAGCCGGUCCCCUCUGAACGGUAUAUAAUAUACAUUAUGCGACGGUAGACGAUCAACUAGACGAAACUUUAGUCUCGUUCAGGUGGUGUAAAAAAAAUUCGAUGGGAUACGCACGCACGGCUGUCGUCGUCCUCGAGCGGUCUUUCGUCCCAAUAUCCAGAAGCAGAGUUUGAAAAACUCUAGCGACGGCACGGGUGUCCGACUCACGACAUCGAGGCUUCGAAGCCGGCGGCGUUCCCCUCUGAACGAACUUCGGCUAGACUAGUUACGAAUCGUUGCUACACAUCGUCUUCAUCGUCGUCGUCGUCGACAUCGACAUCAUCAUCAUAUCAUCAUCAUCAUCAUCAUCAUCAUCAUCGGUCAUCGUCGCAUAGCGGGCCAACAUCCACGCGAUGCGUCUUCGUUCUAGGUUACCCGAUCCACGAGUAUGUUACACGUGGUUUCGU